RNAcentral lists this ribosomal RNA (430 nucleotides) under Subeucalanus subcrassus. Its description in RNAcentral is "SSU rRNA". It matches the Rfam family "Eukaryotic small subunit ribosomal RNA", at positions 1348 to 1803 of the family's 1831-position model. Lineage: Eukaryota; Metazoa; Arthropoda; Copepoda; Calanoida; Eucalanidae. The record is from RNAcentral.
CUGCUAAUAGUGCUGGCUUCUCUUUUGAGCCAGCAAUUCUUCUUAGAGGGACUGGCAACUCUCAGUUGCACGAGAUUGAGCAAUAACAGGUCUGUGAUGCCCUUAGAUGUUCUGGGCCGCACACGCGCUACACUGAAUAGAUCAACGUGUUCUCCCUCUCUGAGAAGAGCGGGUAAACCGCUGAACCCUAUUCGUGGUAGGGAUCGGGGCUUGCAAUUAUUCCCCGUGAACCAGGAAUUCCCAGUAGGCGCAAGUCAUAAGCUUGCGUCGAUUACGUCCCUGCCCUUUGUACACACCGCCCGUCGCUACUACCGAUUGAACGUUUUAGUGAGGUCCUCGGACUGUUUGGCUGGCUGAUUACUCGGCCUGCCUGGCGGGAAGACGACCAAACUGUAGCGUUUAGAGGAAGUAAAAGUCGUAACAAGGUAUC